GCUGUGGUCUGAUGACGACGUAACUCACCGGAGUUGAGUUCGCUUAGCAAGCAAUCUUGAUUUGGGGGGUGGCGUUAAAGAGACAAAGAGAGAAAGAGGAGUGGCGUUAUUAUCAUCAGACAAAGCGAGGAAAAGAGUGACGUUAUUAUCAAUCAGAGAGUGGCAUUAAGGAGAGAGAGGCGAACAGUACACGGGAAGGAGAGUGUGGG
Molecule: long non-coding RNA, 209 nt
Filed under: Panax ginseng (ginseng)
Lineage: Eukaryota; Viridiplantae; Streptophyta; Magnoliopsida; Apiales; Araliaceae
Description: long non-coding RNA (PGIN_LNC004645)
Source: RNAcentral